This 468-nucleotide ribosomal RNA is filed under the name uncultured bacterium. RNAcentral describes it as "partial 16S ribosomal RNA". It matches the Rfam family "Bacterial small subunit ribosomal RNA", at positions 28 to 507 of the family's 1533-position model. The record is from RNAcentral.
GACGAACGCUGGCGGCGUGCUUAACACAUGCAAGUCGAACGGAAAGGCCCUGCUCUUGUUGGUUGCUCGAUUGGCGAACGGGUGAGUAACACGUGAGUAACCUGCCCCUGACUUUGGGAUAACUUCUGGAAACUGGGGCUAAUAUCGCAUAUGAUCUCCUGCUGCAUGUUGGGGGUUGGUAAGUUUCGGCGGUUGUGGAUGGUCUCGCGGCUUAUCAGCUUGUUGGUGUGGUAGUGGCUUACGAAGGCUUUGAAGGGUAGCCGGCCUGAGAGGGUGACCGGCCACAUGGGGACUGAGAGACGGACCAGACGGCUACGGGAGGCAGCAGGGGGGAGUAUUGCACAGUGGGCGGAAGCCUGAUGCAGCAACGCCGGGUGCGGGAUGACGGCCUUCGGGUUGUAAACCGCUUUCGCCUGUAACGAAGCGUGAGUGACGGUAAUGGGUAAAGAAGCACCGGCUAACUACGUG